AUCUCUAAAGUUUAAAAUACAUUAGAUUGCAAAUCUAAAAAUAAAAGAGAUA
Molecule: transfer RNA, 52 nt
Filed under: Tyrophagus putrescentiae
Lineage: Eukaryota; Metazoa; Arthropoda; Arachnida; Sarcoptiformes; Acaridae
Description: tRNA-Cys
Source: RNAcentral